RNAcentral lists this ribosomal RNA (444 nucleotides) under uncultured bacterium. RNAcentral describes it as "partial 16S ribosomal RNA". It matches the Rfam family "Bacterial small subunit ribosomal RNA", at positions 331 to 792 of the family's 1533-position model. The record is from RNAcentral.
CCAGACUCCUACGGGAGGCAGCAGUGGGGAAUAUUGCACAAUGGGGGAAACCCUGAUGCAGCGACGCCGCGUGAGCGAAGAAGUACCUCGGUAUGUAAAGCUCUAUCAGCAGGGAAGAAGAUGACGGUACCUGACCAAGAAGCUCCGGCUAAAUACGUGCCAGCAGCCGCGGUAAUACGUAUGGAGCAAGCGUUAUCCGGAUUUACUGGGUGUAAAGGGAGCGCAGGCGGCCUUGCAAGUCUGAUGUGAAAGCCCGGGGCCCAACCCCGGGACUGCUCUUGGAACUGCGUGGCUGGAGUGCAGGAGGGGCAGGCGGAAUUCCUGGUGUAGCGGUGAAAUGCGUAGAUAUUAGGAGGAACACCAGUGGCGAAGGCGGCCUGCUGGGCUUUUACUGACGCUGAGGCUCGAAAGUGUGGGGAGCAAACAGGAUUAGAUACCCCAGUA